GUAGUCAGAUUCACAUCAAUCCACAUGUGUUGGGAUGGAUUUGGAGUGGAACUUGAACUAAAUUCCACCACCCCAACCCACUCCAACACAUGUGGAUUGAGGUGAAUUCGACA
Molecule: microRNA precursor, 113 nt
Organism: Sorghum bicolor (sorghum)
Lineage: Eukaryota; Viridiplantae; Streptophyta; Magnoliopsida; Poales; Poaceae
Rfam family: MIR5565 microRNA precursor family
Source: Rfam